CAGCCAUGGUUUAUUUUCCCGUAGGCUAUUCCCAACAAAAGAGCUUGAACAGUGCUGCAUUUGCAUCAGGUUCAAAUGAGCGAGAGGAACAUUUGGCUAAAAUAUUUGGAACCAGUGUUGUUUGGAAAUCUCCUAAACCAGAAUAUUUCCUUGGCAGUGUGGACAAAAUUCCCGAUAAAGAGACUGGGUUUCACUGUGUUAGCCAGGAUGGUCUCCAUCUCCUGACCUUGUGAUCCGCCCGCCUCUGCCUCCCAAAGUGCUGGGAUUACAGGCAUGAGCCACCGUGCCUGGCCUAGAAUGUCCUUUCUUUUUGAAACCGAGUAAUAUUCCAUUAUCACCUUUCAGAGGAGAAGAGUUUUAAAGAAUCCUCUCUGUUCGACAGGGUUUUAAGAGAGCAGUUAACUACUGUAGAUAAAGAAACACUUCAAGGGGCAGCUAAACCAGAUCUCCUCCGGCAAACACGACAUAUAAUAUUUUUAUAAUGAAUGGAAAGACAUGGUGGCAAAAUUCUGAAGAAAAAAAUUUCACAAAAUGUGCAAAAAAACAGAAACAGUUGAAGAGCAGCUCCGGCGUCUAAGCCAGGUCGUGGGGCAGUCAAACCAGGACUUGAAACCACAAUGCGAGCACAUUCUUCAUCUGCACACCACAGGGAGGCAAUUCCAUUUCUGCCUGGGAGGUGUAUUCUACAAAAACGUCUGCUUCCCGUCCCAAUUUGAAUGGACCAAGAAAAACUGCUUUACUGUAGGACACUUGUGGCCAUAUGGCACUGGUGGCUGGUGUCGGCGAACCCGACAGACUAU
This 800-nucleotide small RNA is filed under the name Pongo abelii (Sumatran orangutan). RNAcentral's name for it is "retained intron". The record is from RNAcentral. Lineage: Eukaryota; Metazoa; Chordata; Mammalia; Primates; Hominidae.